CGUAGGUGGCAAGCGUUGUCCGGAUUUAUUGGGUUUAAAGGGUGCGUAGGCGGUCUUGUAGGUCAGUGGUGAAAUACGGCAGCUUAACUGUCGAGGUGCCAUUGAUACUGCAGGACUUGAGUACAGACGAGGUAGGCGGAAUUGACGGUGUAGCGGUGAAAUGCUUAGAUAUCGUCAAGAACACCGAUAGCGAAGGCAGCUUACUAGACUGUAACUGACGCUGAUGCACGAAAGUGUGGGGAUCAAACAGGAUUAGAUACCCUGGUAGUCCACACUGUAAACGAUGAUUACUCGAUGUUGGCGAUACACAGCCAGCGUCUUAGCGAAAGCGAUAAGUAAUCCACCUGGGGAGUACGCCGGCAACGGUG
This 368-nucleotide ribosomal RNA is filed under the name uncultured organism. RNAcentral's name for it is "bacterial SSU rRNA". It matches the Rfam family "Bacterial small subunit ribosomal RNA", at positions 526 to 896 of the family's 1533-position model. The record is from RNAcentral.